CCUACGGGCGGCAGCAGUGAGGAAUAUUGGUCAAUGGGAGAGAUCCUGAACCAGCCAAGCCGCGUGAGGGAAGACGGCCCUAUGGGUUGUAAACCUCUUUUGUCGGAGAACAAAACCCGGGACGUGUCCCGGACUGCGUGUAUCCGAAGAAAAAGCAUCGGCUAACUCCGUGCCAGCAGCCGCGGUAAUACGGAGGAUGCGAGCGUUAUCCGGAUUUAUUGGGUUUAAAGGGUGCGUAGGCGGUCCGUUAAGUCAGCGGUAAAAUUGCGGGGCUCAACCCCGUCGAGCCGUUGAAACUGGCAGACUUGAGUUGGCGAGAAGUACGCGGAAUACGCGGUGUAGCGGUGAAAUGCAUAGAUAUCACGAGGAACCCCGAUUGCGAAGGCAGCCUGCCGGGGUGCGACUGACGCUGAGGCUCGAAGGUGCGGGUAUCAAACAGGAUUAGAUACCCCAGUAGUC
RNAcentral lists this ribosomal RNA (459 nucleotides) under uncultured bacterium. RNAcentral describes it as "partial 16S ribosomal RNA". It matches the Rfam family "Bacterial small subunit ribosomal RNA", at positions 338 to 795 of the family's 1533-position model. The record is from RNAcentral.